UUGCUUUAGCAGCACACAUACUAAAAUUAAAAUGACAGAGAGAAUAUUAGCAGGGUCCUGUGCAAGGAUGGCAUGCAAAUUCCUGAAGUGUUCCAUGUUUUG
Small nuclear RNA from Erinaceus europaeus (western European hedgehog), 102 nucleotides. The record is from Ensembl. Lineage: Eukaryota; Metazoa; Chordata; Mammalia; Eulipotyphla; Erinaceidae.